Molecule: transfer RNA, 67 nt
Filed under: Marmota monax (woodchuck)
Lineage: Eukaryota; Metazoa; Chordata; Mammalia; Rodentia; Sciuridae
Description: tRNA.Ala
Source: RNAcentral
GGUUUUGGCUCAGUGGCAGAGCACUUGCCUAGCAUGCAUGAGGCACUGGCUUUGAUCCCGGGCACCA